GAUGAACGCUGGCGGCGUGCCUAAUACAUGCAAGUCGAGCGAACAGACGAGGAGCUUGCUCCUCUGACGUCAGCGGCGGACGGGUGAGUAACACGUGGAUAACCUACCUAUAAGACUGGGAUAACUUCGGGAAACCGGAGCUAAUACCGGAUAAUAUAUUGAACCGCAUGGUUCAAUAGUGAAAGACGGUUUUGCUGUCACUUAUAGAUGGAUCCGCGCCGCAUUAGCUAGUUGGUAAGGUAACGGCUUACCAAGGCAACGAUGCGUAGCCGACCUGAGAGGGUGAUCGGCCACACUGGAACUGAGACACGGUCCAGACUCCUACGGGAGGCAGCAGUAGGGAAUCUGCCGCAAUGGGCGAAAGCCUGACGGAGCAACGCCGCGUGAGUGAUGAAGGUCUUCGGAUCGUAAAACGCUGUUAUUAGGGAAGAACAAAUGUGUAAGUAACUAUGCACGUCUUGACGGUACCUAAUCAGAAAGCCACGGCGAACUACGU
This 496-nucleotide ribosomal RNA is filed under the name uncultured bacterium. Its description in RNAcentral is "partial 16S ribosomal RNA". It matches the Rfam family "Bacterial small subunit ribosomal RNA", at positions 28 to 506 of the family's 1533-position model. The record is from RNAcentral.